This 1924-nucleotide long non-coding RNA is filed under the name Hordeum vulgare. RNAcentral describes it as "long non-coding RNA (HVUL_LNC013166)". Lineage: Eukaryota; Viridiplantae; Streptophyta; Magnoliopsida; Poales; Poaceae. The record is from RNAcentral.
UUUGAUACUGUUGCAUACUUAGCCUAGUUCUAAUAUAAGUCUUGCGAGUACUUUGGAUGAGUACUCGCCGUUGCUUUGCUCCCCCUUUACCCCCUUGAUCCGUUACUGCGACCAGAUGAUGGAGCCCAGGAGAUGGCGUAUCCUGCCGACGACGACUGCUACCCCGAUGAUGCCUACUACUACGUGGAGGCCGCUGAAGUCCAGGAAUAGUUAGGAGGUUCCGAGGCAGGACGUCUCGCGUCGUUCGAUCGUGUAUCUUUUGUGCUAGCCUUCUCUAAGGCACCCCAUGUUUAAUGUCUGUACUCAGAGAUUGUUGCUUCCGCUAACUCGUGUGUUUAUCGAGCUUCCGUAUUCUACCCCUCAAGGUCCCUCGUUUGUAAUAUGAAGCUUGUAUGUUUUAUUUAUGUCUAGAGUUGUGUUGUGAUAUCUUCCCGUGAGUCCUUAAGUUUGACCGUACGCAUUUGCGUGUAUGUUUAGCGCACGAUUAAAUCUAGGACGUCACAGCCCUGUCUUCACGAAAUGAUGAGCAUGCCAUUUGAAUGGGGAUCCAUUGAGCCACACACAAACUUCAUGAUAUGGACUUCAUGAUAUGUAGAUGCAGGUGGAACCACCGGGUUGUAGCAACUCCUAGGCCUGGUGGAGGAACCGGUUGCUCUCGAAGAUAUUUAGAUGCAGGUCACAACGUGAAGGUGAGGUGGUGGCAUGAUGUAUGGCCACAGUGCCACACACAAACUUCAUGAUAUGUAGAUGUAGGUGACACAACGCUUGAUGUAUGGCCGCCUUUUUAUUUUAUGUGUUUUUAGCAAAUACUUCCACAUUACCAUUUAUUGAAAUACACAAAAGGAAAUUUGAAGUCUUAAUAUUUUUUCAUACAUGUAAACAUAUUUUUUCUAAAAUAUAAAAAUAUUUGUUCCGAAAUACAUGUUUUUUUUGCAAGUAAGUUAACACUCUAUUUGUAGUCAAACAACUAGUUUAGAAUACAUGUUUAUUCUUUCAAUACCUAGAUAGUUUUUAUCAUUUACAACAUUUUUAGAACAUAUAUAAAACAAAAACACAUGUUUCUCAUUUUUAUAAAAAAAAUGUGAAAUGUGUCACGCUAGUGGCUGGCUAUAAAUGUACCUUGUUGUAUUGGGAACAUAUACAAUUUAAAAACUAUUAGUGUAGUUCUAAACGAAAUAAAGUACAAAAGAAACAUCGGUUAUCGUGUAUGUUGAAAUUAUUCAAUUGGUUAUCUUUUCCCUAAAAUGUUUGUAUAAAUGAUAAAAUUGUUCAAACAUUAAAAAUUACUUGAUGAUAACCCAACGUUAUUGCGGGAAUUGUUUGCUCUAUAUUUUGAUGAAGUUGGAACAUGAGUAUUCGAUUAUUGUAUAGUUGUAGGAUAUUUAUCAAAAAUUGUAGGAUAAUUGUUUUCACAUGCAUGGUUGCAUGUUGUGGUGGAUCUCUUCUCAUGCAUGUUAGCAUGUACAGGUAGCUAUUUUCUCAUGCAUAGUUACAUGAUGAGGUAAACCUCAAAAAAAGUUACAUGAUAAGGUGGGAUAGUUGCAUGGAGAUAAAUACAAGUAGUGGAGAUCACUCUCUACACGUUGUUGUGAGGAUCUAUUGUAAUAUAUUUUAAUUAGAUUUGCUUUCUAUGAAACAUGAACAUUUGGGUAAUAAUAUGAAACUAAAACUAAAAAUCCAUAGAUUUAUUGUACUUGAUUAUUGUAUAGUUAUAAAAUGUUUAUUAAAUAUAGAGUGGAAAUUAUCAUGCACGUUUCCAUGCUACUGUGGGCCUUUCCCAUUAAUGUUGCAUGAUGUGGCACGCUUGUAUUGAGAGAAAUAUAUAAGUGAGGCUAGAUAUUUAGAUAUAUGAUUUUUCUUUUUGACAAAAGAUGCAAAUCUUAUAAAACAAAAAUGAUAGGAAAACGGAAAAUAGAGCAAGAAU